RNAcentral lists this small RNA (546 nucleotides) under Pongo abelii (Sumatran orangutan). RNAcentral's name for it is "processed transcript". The record is from RNAcentral. Lineage: Eukaryota; Metazoa; Chordata; Mammalia; Primates; Hominidae.
CCUGAGGGCCCAGGAACUGCAAUAAAUGAUCACAGGGAGGCUUAGAGUUCAGAGAGGAGGUGUGAUUCUGAGGUCACACAGCAAGUUAGAGACCCAGCUCCACCACUCGUUGUCUUGGCUUUGGCCCUCGCCAUCCUGCCCACCCAGCGGGGCCUCCCAACCCACCACACGGCCAUGGAUGGGAAGGUGGCAGUGCACGAGCACGGGCCUCCUGCAGUCUCCUGGGUCCCCGAGGAGGGAGAGAAGUUGGACCAGGGAGACGAGGACCAGGAGCCUUCUUCAUCCCCUACUUCAUCUUCUUCUUUGCCUGCGGCAUCCCGGUGUUCUUCCUGGAGGUGGCGUUGGGCCAAUACACCAGCCAAGGGAGUGUCACAGCCUGGAGGAAGAUCUGCCCCCUCUUCCAGGGCAUUGGUCUGGCGUCUGUGGUCAUCGAGUCAUAUUUGAAUGUCUACUACAUCAUCAUCCUUGCCUGGGCUCUCUUCUACCUCUUCAGCUCCUUCACCUCUGAGCUGCCCUGGACGACCUGCAACAACUUUUGGAACACAG